Molecule: non-coding RNA, 962 nt
Organism: Equus caballus (horse)
Lineage: Eukaryota; Metazoa; Chordata; Mammalia; Perissodactyla; Equidae
Source: RefSeq, a predicted model, not a curated record
CUGGGGUAGGAGGGACAUCACUGGAGAUUUUUGACAGGUCAUGGAGAUAAAAAGGACAGGAAAAGAAGACCGAAACGGAGCAGCCAGCACAAUAGGAGAAGCACAGUUUCGAGGUUCUACAGCCUAACACUUGAGUGUGCGGUUCUGUGCAGACAGACAAUGAAGUUCAGGGCUGCAGGCCGCAGAUCUAAAGGCUGAUCCUGGGUCAGACACGAUCUGCCUAAAUGACCCUGGCAAAUUAUCUGGUCUCUUGUGCCUGUAACUACAUCUAUAAAACGUCAGAAAUAUUGACCUGUCCCCAAGUAGGUGAACUUUAAGAAACAGGCUUUGGAAAUCUUGGGAAGAAUGAUUUAAAAGUACCGCUUCCUGCUGGUGACCCAACCUAAGCAUAGUGUGUGGAGGAAUGCAAACGAUCAGCCUUUCCCAUGCAGUCGGCCGCACUGAAGUACUGUGGGUGACGAAAAUGGAUCUGUUGCCUAAGCUGGGUGUGGAAAAACCACGUGCCAGGCUGGAAAUCGAUGAAUUCACACCUUCUCUCUCGCUCCCUCAAGUUGGGCUGUGAUAUGAAUGACCUUUCCUAGAAGCAAAAGGAGGAAGAUGGAGUGUGACCACAGCGUCUGCUGAAUGUCAUUGAGAUGGUCACAUUCUCACUGACAGAUGGAGACUUGGGCAAAAGACCACUGAGGUGUGCACCUUCCUACCACCUUUGAACAGAACUCCCUCUGCUCUCGUCUCUGCAGCUAUAAGGUUUUCUCCCACCACAUGGAAAGGUGGCAGAAAGCCACAAUUCUGGAAAGAUGAGUGUUGUUCUAGAAAACUACCCUGACAUGCAACAGGCUCGUCAGCCCCAUGGAUGAGAUGUUUUGAAUUUCUUUCCUCUCCAUUUCUACUAUCUUCCUAUUUUUCGUGUAACUAACCUCUAAACCUCUCCUUGGCGAUCAGGCCUCCCUUCUGAUCCAGGU